This 830-nucleotide ribosomal RNA is filed under the name uncultured crenarchaeote. Its description in RNAcentral is "bacterial SSU rRNA". It matches the Rfam family "Archaeal small subunit ribosomal RNA", at positions 52 to 859 of the family's 1478-position model. The record is from RNAcentral. Lineage: Archaea; Thermoproteati; Thermoproteota.
UGCUAGUCGAGCGCUUCAAGCCAAAAAGAGGCGCGGCGUACAGCUCAGUAACACGUGGCUAAUCUGCCCUUGGGAUAGGAAUAACCCCGGGAAACUGGGGCUAAUCCCCAAUAGGCGAAGAACUCUGGAAUGAGUCUUUACCAGAAAAGAUGCUUGCGUUAUGCUCGUAGGCGUCGCCCAAGGAUGAGGCCGCGACCGAUCAGGUUGUUGGUGAGGUAAUGGCUCACCAAGCCUUUUACCGGUGCGGGCCGUGAGAGCGGGAGCCCGGAGAUGGGCACUGAGACAAGGGCCCAGGCCCUACGGGGCGCAGCAGUCGCGAAAACUUUGCAAUAAGCGAAAGCUUGACAGGGCUAUCCCGAGUGCCAUCCGCUGAGGAAGGCUUUUACCCAGUCUAGAACGCUGGGGGAAUAAGGAGAGGGCAAGUCUGGUGUCAGCCGCCGCGGUAAUACCAGCUCUCCGAGUGGUGUGGAUGUUUAUUGGGCCUAAAGCAUCCGUAGCUGGCUAAGUUAGUCCCUUGUUAAAUCCACCGAAUUAAUCGUUGGAUUGCGGGGGAUACUGCUUGGCUAGGGGACGAGAGAGGCAGACGGUAUUUCCGGGGUAGGGGUGAAAUCCUAUAAUCCCGGGAAGACCACCAGUGGCGAAGGCUGUCUGCUAGAACGCGCCCGACGGUGAGGGAUGAAAGCUGGGGGAGCGAACCGGAUUAGAUACCCGGGUAGUCCCAGCUGUAAACGAUGCAGGCUAGGUGUUUGGACGGCCACGUGCCGUUCUAGUGCCGCAGGAAACUGUUAAGCCUGCCGCCUGGGGGGUACGAUCGCAAGAUUGAAACUUAA